CUUUUUCCAGAUUGUGGAAAGACGAGGGAACCAAAUGAUCUGGCAAGCCCUUCCUCCACAGUGUCUUCCUCUUACAGUGCCAACAAUACAUAUAAGCAUUUUGAUGAGGGCUCCAAUACCCACAGAGCAUGCUGCAGCAGCGGAAUCGGCCAUACAAAUGGAUCCGCGUUGCACCAGCGCCAUGGCCAGGACAACAACAUAGGAUCGGAUCAGAUUGCUCUAGAAACAAGGUACUGGAUUUCAAUACCUGGAUGCUGCCUCGCUCCUAGCGCUAACUAGCCCCUCGCUUCCAAUGUCCAAUCCGAUGCUACAAAGGCAGUUUAUGUGGUAUUAAAUGUGGCAUGGCAAUGUUAAUUAAAACUUUAUAAAUUGUAAUAACUUGAUAUC
Molecule: long non-coding RNA, 387 nt
Filed under: Selaginella moellendorffii
Lineage: Eukaryota; Viridiplantae; Streptophyta; Lycopodiopsida; Selaginellales; Selaginellaceae
Description: long non-coding RNA (SMOE_LNC001852)
Source: RNAcentral